AAUGAACGCUGGCGGUGUGCCUAAUACAUGCAAGUCGAGCGACCAGACGAGGAGAUCGCUCCUUCGACGUUAGCGGCGGACGGGCGAGUAACACGUAGGUAACCUUCUAAUUUGUCUGGGAUAAUUACGGGAAGACGGUGAUACUACUGCAUCAUACUUCGUACCGCUUGAUUCGAUAGUGCAUCAUACCUUUCGUAUCUCUUAUAGCUGGACCUGCGCCGUAUUAGCUAGUUGGUAAGGUAACGGCUUACCAAGGCAACGAUACGUAGCCGACCUGAGAGGAUGAUCAGCCACACUGGAACUGAGACACGGUCCAGACUCCUACGGGAGGCAGCAGUAGGGAAUAUUCCGCAAUGGGCGAAAGCCUGACGGAGCAACGCCGCGUGAGUGAUGAAGGUCUUCGGGUCGUAAAACUCUUUUAUUGGGGAAGAACAAACGUAUAUUUAACUGUGCACGUCUUGACGGUACCUAAACAGAAAGCCACGGCUAACUUCGUG
Molecule: ribosomal RNA, 497 nt
Filed under: uncultured bacterium
Lineage: Bacteria
Description: partial 16S ribosomal RNA
Rfam family: Bacterial small subunit ribosomal RNA
Source: RNAcentral